RNAcentral lists this ribosomal RNA (948 nucleotides) under uncultured Bacillota bacterium. Its description in RNAcentral is "bacterial SSU rRNA". It matches the Rfam family "Bacterial small subunit ribosomal RNA", at positions 1 to 916 of the family's 1533-position model. Lineage: Bacteria; Bacillati; Bacillota. The record is from RNAcentral.
GGAUCCAGACUUUGAUCCUGGCUCAGGAUGAACGCUGGCGGCAUGCCUAAGACAUGCAAGUCGAACGAGAUGGCCCAUUGAAGAUUGAGUGCUUGCACGAUUUCCGAUUUGGAUUCUCCAUCUAGUGGCGGACGGGUGAGUAACACGUGGGUGACCUACCUUUGAGUUUGGGACAACUACUGGAAACGGUAGCUAAUACCAAAUAAUAUACAGUUUCGUUUCUGUAUUAAAAGGCGCUUUACAGCGUCGCUCUUAGAUGGGCCUGCGGCGUAUUAGCUAGUUGGUGAGGUAAUGGCUCACCAAGGCGACGAUGCGUAGCCGGACUGAGAGGUUGAUCGGCCACAUUGGGACUGAGACACGGCCCAAACUCCUACGGGAGACAGCAGUUAGGAAUAUUCGUCAAUGGGGGAAACCCUGAACGAGCAAUGCCGCGUGAGUGAUGAAGGUCCUUUGGAUUGUAAAACUCUGUUGUAUGGGAAGAACGGUCAGACUAGGAAAUGAGUCUGAAGUGACGGUACCAUGCCAGAAAGCUCCGGCUAACUACGUGCCAGCAGCCGCGGUAAUACGUAGGGAGCGAGCGUUAUCCGGAUUUAUUGGGCGUAAAGGGUGCGUAGGCGGCUUGUUAAGUAUGAAAUUAAAGCCCGGGGCUUAACUCCGGUUCGUUUCAUAAACUGGCUAGCUUGAGUAUGGAGGAGGUAAACGGAAUUUCUAGUGUAGCGGUGGAAUGCGUAGAUAUUAGAAGGAACACCAGUGGCGAAGGCGGUUUACUGGGCCAUUACUGACGCUGAGGCACGAAAGCGUGGGGAGCAAAUAGGAUUAGAUACCCUAGUAGUCCACGCCGUAAACGAUGAGUACUAAGUGUUGGGGUUUCCCAGUGCUGAAGUUAACAUAUUAAGUACUCCGCCUGAGUAGUACGGUCGCAAGGCCGCAACUCAAAUGAAUUGACGG